Molecule: unclassified non-coding RNA, 4108 nt
Filed under: Leishmania donovani
Lineage: Eukaryota; Euglenozoa; Kinetoplastea; Trypanosomatida; Trypanosomatidae
Description: gene:unknown
Source: RNAcentral
GGUAUUCACACCACCCUCACACUCGCACUUUUUUUUCUCGAAAUCCACCGAGUCAUCAUCCACUCGCACGCCAGGGUCUUUUCUCGCCCCUCUCCCUUUAUUCCGUGGUGGUCCUCUCUCUCCUCCCUCCCUCCCUCCCUUCUUCUAAGAGCUCGUUCUCCGUUCUCGUGCGUGCACUACCGACAGUCUCUCGUGACGUGCCGAACAAACUAAGAAAACGGGAACGGACUCGGAAGUACACAUAAAAGAACACUUUAAUAUCUAGACGGAAAGAAGCAGGAGCAGCACUCGGCCAUUCUAUACGGAUAGCUCACCCUCUCAAAGGGUACUCGGACAUCCUCGUACGCCUGGCGAUAUCUCCUCCCCCUACCCCACUAGCUCGCGCUUCAUGUCCGCCAUCAUCAUCACACCCGUUGCUCCUGCGACGACGCCGCCCACUCGCACCCCUGCAAUGCAUCUGCAUAGCUUUAGCCAACCCACUCAAGCACAGCAGCAGCAGCAGCAGCUCCUUUUCCGGCCGCGCUGCGAGGAGGGGGUGACAUAUAGCGAAGACAACAACGGCACCGUGCACUACCGUUUCUACCUUCCCCAUGCCAGCUCUGUUGUUGUCGCUCCUGUGAAGGUUUGCCUGGUGGACAGCGAUGGUGGCACGGUCCCUGUCGCCUCCAUCGGCGCCGCCGCACCCAUGACAAAGCACCAAGACGGAGUGUGGGUCGGAACCGUGUCCGCACCAGUCGGACUGCAGUGUGUCGUCCUCAUGGUGGACGGCAACCCUGUGCUCACGCCCCACCUCAGCAUCGGGUGCCUGCAUGGGCUCCAGCGGGCAAACUACAUCGAUGUCCCGCCACCGAACCCAAAUCGAUGUGUCUACGCCAUGCGGCCCUCCGUCGAGCACGGGAUGGUGGCCCACAACUACUUGACGUCCUACACAAUGGACACAACCGAGGAAGUUCUUAUCUACGUGCCGCCCUCGUAUCACAAGGCGAGCAGCGCAACACGUCGGUACCCCGUGCUCUACCUCCUGCACGACGACCGCGAGUACCCAAUGAACUGCGUACAGCAGGGUAAGGUGAACGUCAUCGCCGACAACCUCAUCGCCGACGGCAAGAUGACGGAGAUGAUCAUCGUAAUGAAGAGUAGUGUGAGCGCACGCGCCAAUGGUGAAUGCAUUCCAUGCGAUGCGGCCAAGCUCUGCGAAGACCUGACGGAGGACAUCAUUCCGUACGUCGACAACCACUACCGCACCGAGGCAGAUCGCGACAACCGCGCCAUCGCCGGUCUCUACAUGGGCUCCAUACAAGCCAGCAGGCUCUGCAUAACACGCCACGAUCUCUUCGCCUACGCCGGCAUGUUCUCCGGCUUCCUGAGGAGCAACUGGAACGGCAUCAGUACGGACAGCGACCACAUCGAAGCCCUCCGCCGCGAUCCCGUAGCCUUCCAGACCGCCAUGAAAGUGCUCUUCCGUUGCAUUGGCGACGACAACACCCACCGCGCCGCGUUCGAGGCGGACGACGCUCUGCUGGCGGAGCUGGGCGUGGCGUGCGAGCGGCGCAUCUACGCGGGCUCACAUAGCUGGCAGGUAUGGCGCCAGGCCGCAGCCGAUUUCCUGCCAAUGCUAUUCAAGGACCUAAGCUUUCUUCCUCGUCACUGAGGCAGCCGCAAUGACGCCGUCUAGUCGGCCCCGUUGGUUUCACGCUAUCUGGGGUGAUUAGCACGCUGGUGGACACGCAUGCCCAACUGACGAGGAGGAGGAUUCACGUUUCUUUUUUUUUUUCAAUUUAAGUUGCAUAUGCUGACGCGGUGCUCUCGCUGUCCACGAAUCUUUACCGUGGAGCAAGCACACACACACACACACAUAUAUAUAUAUAUAUCGAGUCGCACACAAGUUGUUGGACUCUCUUGCUUGGCGGUGAAACGGGUGGAGAGGCGAGUAUUUAUUUUAAUUGCCUAUUUGAAGUACGUUUCUCGUGUUUCCAUUCCUCACCUUCCACCCACCCCGCCCUCUGUAUGGUUAUAUGUUCUCUUAUUCUCUCGUGUGUGUGUGUGUGGCGGGAACUACACACUUUUCCGUAGAAGCUCCUUACCUUUCGACUGUCGUGAAAGCGCACACCGCCUUGUGUGCCUUGCAUGUCUAACGCCGUCUCAACGUGCAGAGAUGUGCACCAACGCACACGCAUUUUCUGCUUGCCUUUGCUGCCCACGUAUCUCUCUCUCUCUAUGGGUCACCUCUGUAUCAGGCUUGGUCAUGUUGUUUUUUUUUUCUUUCCAUUUUUUUCUGUGUGUUCAACGGAGCCACCGGCGCAACUACCUCAGUAGCAGCACGAGCAGCAGGAACAAUCCCCGUUGCGGUUCUGCGUUACUCUUUUCUUUCCUGCUCCUCCGGCCACCACCACCACCACCACCCCUCCCCUUUCCCCUUCCCCUACUUCUCUUACCCCUUCAGCCCCACUCUCUGCUGAAUGUGUGCAUGUACAUGUGCGCACUGUUUGCUUUCUCUUCUUCUUUUCCAGUGUAAACCGAGAGCACGAAAAGAAGGUACUGCGUGACCCCCCCCCUCCCUUGUCGACCUCUCCCGAUCCAUCCUCGGACGCAUUGCGAAACGCGUUCGAGGAUGACAGUUCAUCUUCGCUUGUUGCUUUCUUCCUGUCUCACUGACUGUUGUUGUUUUGGGGGUGAGGGAGGGUGCAUGUGUAUCGGGAAAAGGAACUGUGGCGAAGACUCCUACGACUACCCCAAUGUCGCCCUUCUUUUGCUCUUUCACCCAUGCCCACAGACAUCCCCCGUCCCUUUCGCUCUCUCCUCGAUGACACAGCACAAAACUCGAUCAUUUUCAAUUGCCUGUUGGGACUUUGUGUGUGUAUGUGUUGCUUAUUUAUACUCUUCCUUCUUUGGAUGUGCGUUUGGUUGCCUUUGUCCCUCCCUUCCUGUCCAUGAGAUCAGCUUGGUAAAAACGGGGAGGUAGGGGUGGGGGGCUUGGGCACGGGCGAGCAUGGACACGAACGUCACGUUACUUUUUCGUUCUCUCCUGCAAUAACACACUCACGCGCAUAUCUCUCUGGCGCCAAGAUCCACUUCCCAUCUUUCUUCUGUUGCGUUUACACGCCUCGCGUACGACCUGUUCCUUCCUGUUUCCUUGUGCCUGCACCUCUGUUCGCUUGUGUGUGUGUGUGUGUGUGUGUAGAUCGCAAACACGAUUAUGUAGGCUAUGUAUAUUCACCGGUGGAGAGCCCUCGCUCACACAAGCGCAUGCCCGUGCAGCUGCGGGGGUCGUUCUUUUAUGUGGUGUGCACCUGCGUUCCCCCUUCAUCUUCAAACUCAGCACAGUACAUGCACGUGCACACACAGCCGCGCCUUCUGUUCACCUCCUCUAUACCAUGUACACCCGAAGCUCGCCUACGAGUGAUACAAAGAGGAGCGGUCCGUAUUCGACACGAAAGUGAAACCAUUGUAGUUGGAGUUGGGUUUCCGCGACGACCACCCUUCAACCGCUGCUUUCCCGCAGGUCGUGCGAUGGUGUAUCCUUGUGUGUAUGUAUGUAUGUAUGUGGGUGUAGGUGUGUACCCUUGCAUUGUGCUCACUCGCCUCUGCACUGAUAUGUUGUGGUGCGCCAAAAUCCAAGUGAAAACAAAGAAGCCAUCGCUUCGCGCGUGGUGUGCUUUAUCCUUUAUUUGCUCGCUUGUGCGGGUCUACACAGCUGAAGUGUUUUCUGCGUGUAUGUGUGCGCUAGCGGUACUGUAUCUUAAUCGUGGGUGUGGCGAAAAAGGGGAGGAGAGGAGAGAGCUGUCCAUCACAGAAAGAAUGAUGGUGUGGGGACGUUGGGUUUCUUCUCUGGUGUACUCUCGUCUCCAUGGGAUAUGGGAGAUGGCGAUGCGGCGACGCUUUCAAUGACGCGCGUAGAUUUUGUUUGCCGCCUUCGAUGGUCUGUGGAUCACAACUUAAAUGUGAAGGGAGAAUCGGUGUCCCUCCUCUCGCUUGUUUGUGAAAAUCGGAGUGCAAUGGAGGCAAUGCUGGGAUGCGGCAUGUCGCUUAGGUGCAUUCUCCUCCACACACUCGCCGAAGUACUUGCACCCCGCCAUUGUUGUUUUUUGUUCGCCGUCUUUCCCCGUAG